Molecule: long non-coding RNA, 188 nt
Organism: Ailuropoda melanoleuca (giant panda)
Lineage: Eukaryota; Metazoa; Chordata; Mammalia; Carnivora; Ursidae
Exons: 3
Source: RefSeq, a predicted model, not a curated record
UGCUGGUACAGUCUUGCUACAUGAGGACAAAUUAUCAUUACCUUGAGAACAGAUCCUUAUAAGAAUCUAGGAAAAUUCGAUCAUUUUUCUAAGAAAUUGGGGCAGAGCAAAGAAAGAACCCAGUUGAGAGAAGGCAUCUUCUCAGGGGUGACUAUUUGAAAUGUAUGGAUGGCUUGGUGAUCGUGCUU